GACGAACGCUGGCGGCGUGCUUAACACAUGCAAGUCGAACGGAAAGGCCCUGCUUUUGUGGGGUGCUCGAGUGGCGAACGGGUGAGUAACACGUGAGUAACCUGCCCUUGACUUUGGGGUAACUUCAGGAAACUGGGGCUAAUACCGGAUAGGAGCUCCUGCUGCAUGGUGGGGGUUGGAAAGUUUCGGCGGUUGGGGAUGGACUCGCGGCUUAUUAGCUUGUUGGUGGGGUAGUGGCUUACCAAGGCUUUGACGGGUAGCCGGCCUGAGAGGGUGACCGGCCACAUUGGGACUGAGAUACGGCCCAGACUCCUACGGGAGGCAGCAGUGGGGAAUAUUGCACAAUGGGCGGAAGCCUGAUGCAGCAACGCCGCGUGCGGGAUGACGGCCUUCGGGUUGUAAACCGCUUUCGCCUGUGACGAAGCGUGAGUGACGGUAAUGGGUAAAGAAGCACCGGCUAACUACGUG
This 468-nucleotide ribosomal RNA is filed under the name uncultured bacterium. Its description in RNAcentral is "partial 16S ribosomal RNA". It matches the Rfam family "Bacterial small subunit ribosomal RNA", at positions 28 to 507 of the family's 1533-position model. The record is from RNAcentral.